Paramuricea clavata is the source of this 1293-nucleotide non-coding RNA. Lineage: Eukaryota; Metazoa; Cnidaria; Anthozoa; Malacalcyonacea; Plexauridae. The record is from the annotation of a GenBank genome assembly.
CUCUUUAUAAUUAUAUUUAUUUAACAUUUAACAUAUACACACAUAUUUUCCCAAUGCUACACAGUUGAAAAAAUAUAGCACAUCAUGGGAAUCAUAUUUGCAUAACUAUAGCCCCGUUUACACUACGCUCAUUUUUUGGUACGGCACGGAUAAAAUUGGUACCGUACACCAAAAAUAGAGCGUAGUGUAAACGGGGCUCAAAAUAUAGGUAGUCCAAGAACCAAAAAAGUGGUAAGGGUACCAAUUUUAUCCGUGCCGUACCAAAACGGGGCUUAAGUCCAUAGUGUACCCAGUAAUAAGUAUAUCCAUAGGGGUAUACAGCCAAUUCAAAAAAGGUUGUGCAUUGCAAACCUUAAACUCUAAGUAAAACUUAUAUGAUUUCUAAACUGAUUAAAUGAUACUCCCAUUAUACUUUACACGCUUAGAGUCUUUAAGGUUUAAGGUUUAGAGUUUAAUUAUAAGGUUUGCAAAGGACAACCUUUUUGAAUUAGCUUUAUACGGAAAUGGCAAUUUGUGUGGAAAUUAAAUUUCUAUAGUAUUUCCAACUAGGUUCUAUGCUAUAAUAGCAUGGCUAUUUCUAUAAUAAAGAUUUUGAAAAAAAAUAUUUUAGUACUAUGAGGUGAAUAGUUUUUACUAUUUUUAAAAUAAUUAUCAUUUUUAAAAUAAUGCCAAUAUCAGUUCUCGCAAUCAUCGACGGCAAACGGAAAUUUCCGCCGAUAAUGCUGGCGAAAAUAAAAUUAUCGACGGCAAGUUCUUGCCUAUAUUAUGAUGAUUAUCAAACUCUUAUUAUUUAUAAUAGUUUUGUUUGUGGAAACAUGCACCACGUAAAUUUAUUACUGCAAAGCUUUCGAUCCGUAAGCCCGGAUCUUCAUCCGUAAGCCCGGAUCGAAAGCUUUGCAUGUAAUAAAUUUACGUGGUGUUUCCACAAACAAAACUAUUAUAUGUUUUAUCGCCAUGCAAACUUACAAAGAUCUUAUUAUUUCAAUUUUAUUACAUACUAUAGUCAUACUUGCACGCGCCUUUAUCCUGGCGACUGAGGGUGCCGGAUAUCUUUUUUGUCACUGAUAUCGUUUCUUGUCACUAAUAUCGCUUUUGUCCCGCUAGUUCAACAAUUGUUGCAACCAUUGGGGCAAUGAUAAUAUUCUAGUAAUAAAUUCUGACACUGACAAAGUCAAAGGCGCAAGUAUGUAAUAAACUGUAUAUUGUCAAAAUUUUAAAAAAACAUGCAUGCUUAGUAAUAUAGUUAAUAUUCUUGUAUUUGGUACUAUUUAACAAUUAGUCGCCGAAGGCGAG